AUGAGUAGUCUGCACAUUAGUUUCUGCCUCCAAUUCUUUUUUCUUUUUUUUUUUUUUUUUUACUGUCUGUCUGUCUGUAAUUCCUUUCGUUGCCCAGAGUCCAUGUCUUUGAUUCUCGAGUGCACCUUCCUUUACCUGACUGCUCGGGUAGCUUUCAAUUCCUUCUCUGACGCUUCUGCACCCCGAGUGCUUAUUCCUAUUUUCAAUACUUCAAUCUCGGGACUAGAGUAGUGUCUCUCCUCCCACCAUUUAUCUACUAUUAUACUAUAAUUGAACAAUACUUUGUUUAAGCUAAGGCUGAAUUGUGAGGUGACCAACAUUUACAUCACCUGAACAGACUGAAACUUUUAUAACUAUAGAUUUUUUUCUUUCUUUUUGCCUUAAAGUCAUCUCUGCUAGGAAUAGUUAUGAGUAUUAGUUUUUCCAUAAAAUACACAAAACUUAUUUUUCUUAUAAUCUGUAUUUACCCUAAUAUUUGAGGUGAAUGUCUCAUGAUUAACAUUUGAAAAAUUCCCAGAGGGCAUGACCAAGGCUAAAGGGGCUAUGCCUAGUAGGUAGCAAUGAAGGUGACAGGGUUCACCUAUGGACCCAGCUCAGGAUGGGAGGUAGGAAAAGUAUAGCUACAACUGCAGUAUACAAACUGCAUUUGUUCAUCUAGGUAUAGUCAUGCCAACAUUGUGAAGGGUAUAUCCUAAGUGUGUAUAUGCUGAGAACUAAGUUGAGAGCAAAUACAAUGAGAAUUUACAAAGGAUUUCAUCUGUGUGGAAUAUAAGUUCACAAAGAUUUUCAAAAAUACUAAAGAUCAACAUGAGAGGUGAUCAUGAAACAAGAUUAUAUUAAAAAGUAUACAAAGCUUCUAUAAUAUUUGACGUAUUUAUCUACAAAUAUCUGCAAACAGUUCAGCAAAAUAAGAAGUAAAUUCAGUAAUGUCAAGACUCAUUUACAAACACGGGAAACCCAACAUAACAGACUGUAAGCAAAACAAAAAAUAAAUAAAAGAAAAAAAUGAACA
This 1012-nucleotide long non-coding RNA is filed under the name Oryctolagus cuniculus (rabbit). Its description in RNAcentral is "lncRNA (ENSOCUG00000038576.1)". Lineage: Eukaryota; Metazoa; Chordata; Mammalia; Lagomorpha; Leporidae. The record is from RNAcentral.